This is a long non-coding RNA of Apodemus sylvaticus (European woodmouse), 1207 nucleotides long. RefSeq lists it as uncharacterized. The record is from RefSeq and is a predicted model, not a curated record. The transcript has 3 exons. Lineage: Eukaryota; Metazoa; Chordata; Mammalia; Rodentia; Muridae.
AUAAUUUGUAGGUUGCACUCCGCUAUUGUUUUGCAUUUCGUCUGCAGAGAGGUGUGCAUGCACAUGUGUCCCUUCAUUACACGCUGGUGAACACACCUUUAAUGCACCAGAAGCAGCAUUCACCUGUCUCCCCUGAAGUCUCCAAACUGAAUCAUGCAUCUUGAACUUUCUCGACUGGAGUUCCCCGCAACCUUUUGUUAAACUUAACAUUCCUUUCCAAAGAAAACAAACAGAACCAAACAAAAAAAUAAUGGUUUGGAUGCCACUCUGUCCACAAGAAGCAAAGGAAAGCCACGCGUGAAGUCAGCAGCCCUUGGGCUGUCCAUUCCAGCACCCAUUUAUAACUGUUCUGUCUGCAGUGUCCAAGGAAAAGGCUCAUGGCAGCAGAAACAGAGACCUUACCAAGCAAUUACGGGUGAGGAAUCUUCUGCCAAAACAGUACAGACGUAACCUUUCUUCCCAUAGAGCUCAGCAUCAUCCCAUGGCCAAAGAGAGGCUUGAUAAAUACUACAUGCUGAACAAGUGACCAAACUGAUAUGAGAAUGGAAAACAACAACAACAACAACAACCCUAAACAUGAGGAAUGACAAAGGGGAGAAGUCAGGUGCUUCUAUGAGAAGCUGAGGGUACCACGCUUCCUGCCUCCUGUAGGUGGCGCCAAACUCCUUGAAGAAAAGGACAAGCAAAGUGAAAGGCUGCUGCUGUGCCUACUACACUGACAGACACACUGACUGGAGAACCCUCUUCCCUGUUGGCAGUCUCACUUCCAAGGCAGCUCUUCUUCACUGUGCUGGCAAGCUCUGGAUCAAAGAAGUGGUUCACCUGCACUGCGUUAUUUAUGAGCUGCCCUUUCCCUCUGAGUGCAAGCCUCGAAUUACGGGAUGACCAGCUCCACGGCAGAGAUCCUCAGUGUUGGGCAAAUGGAAGGUUCCUUGUGGUGUCUCUUAAAAAGAUUGGCAAAGCUCUGUUGGAAGAUGGAACCUUCAGAAUGGAGCCUUGUGGGAGGAAGUCAGGACACUGGAGACAUGCCACUGAAGAGGACAUCAGUACUCCAACUCUUCUUCCAAGGCAGACUUCUGCCAUCCCUCCCAGCCCUGAUGCUGCAAAGGAACGUGGUCAACUCACAGUGAACUGACGCUUCCGAACUGUAAGCCAAAUAAACACUUCCCCCUUAGACCUUUCUCUUGGCCAUUGCGUCACAAGAGUG